AGUGAACGCUGGCGGUAGGCCUAACACAUGCAAGUCGAACGGCAGCACAGUAAGAGCUUGCUCUUACGGGUGGCGAGUGGCGGACGGGUGAGGAAUGCAUCGGAAUCUACUUUUUCGUGGGGGAUAACGUAGGGAAACUUACGCUAAUACCGCAUACGACCUACGGGUGAAAGCAGGGGAUCUUCGGACCUUGCGCGAUUGAAUGAGCCGAUGUCGGAUUAGCUAGUUGGCGGGGUAAAGGCCCACCAAGGCGACGAUCCGUAGCUGGUCUGAGAGGAUGAGCAGCCACACUGGAACUGAGACACGGUCCAGACUCCUACGGGAGGCAGCAGUGGGGAAUAUUGGACAAUGGGCGCAAGCCUGAUCCAGCCAUACCGCGUGGGUGAAGAAGGCCUUCGGGUUGUAAAGCCCUUUUGUUGGGAAAGAAAAGCAGCAGGUUAAUACCCCGCUGUUCUGACGGUACCCAAAGAAUAAGCACCGGCUAACUUCGUG
This 492-nucleotide ribosomal RNA is filed under the name uncultured bacterium. RNAcentral's name for it is "partial 16S ribosomal RNA". It matches the Rfam family "Bacterial small subunit ribosomal RNA", at positions 29 to 507 of the family's 1533-position model. The record is from RNAcentral.